CGGGAUGUAGCUCAGUCUGGCAGAGCGCGUGCUUUGGGAGCACGAUGUCGCUGGUUCAAGUCCAGCCAUCCCGACCA
This 77-nucleotide transfer RNA is filed under the name Deltaproteobacteria bacterium. RNAcentral describes it as "tRNA-Pro". It matches the Rfam family "tRNA". Rfam says of the family: Transfer RNA (tRNA) molecules are approximately 80 nucleotides in length. RNAcentral also lists the same sequence under 1 other name. The record is from RNAcentral. Lineage: Bacteria; Pseudomonadati; Myxococcota; Myxococcia.